ACUCCUACGGGAGGCAGCAGUGGGGAAUAUUGCACAAUGGGGAAACCCUGAUGCAGCCAUGCCGCGUGUGUGAAGAAGGCCUUCGGUUGUAAAGCACUUUCAGUAGGGAGGAAGGUAGUGUAGUUAACACCUGCAUUAUUUGACGUUACCUACAGAAGAAGCACCGGCUAACUCCGUGCCAGCAGCCGCGGUAAUACGGAGGGUGCGAGCGUUAAUCGGAAUUACUGGGCGUAAAGCGCAUGCAGGCGGCCUGUUAAGUCAGAUGUGAAAGCCCGGGGCUUAACCUCGGAAUUGCAUUUGAAACUGGCAGGCUAGAGUCUUGUAGAGGGGGUAGG
This 335-nucleotide ribosomal RNA is filed under the name uncultured bacterium. RNAcentral describes it as "bacterial SSU rRNA". It matches the Rfam family "Bacterial small subunit ribosomal RNA", at positions 335 to 664 of the family's 1533-position model. The record is from RNAcentral.